Bombus impatiens (common eastern bumble bee) is the source of this 197-nucleotide long non-coding RNA. RefSeq lists it as uncharacterized. The record is from RefSeq and is a predicted model, not a curated record. NCBI's taxonomy places the organism in Eukaryota, Metazoa, Arthropoda, Insecta, Hymenoptera, Apidae. The transcript is spliced from 5 exons.
CUUUUCUUCGCCUAUAUUUCCUAUCGCUUCGAGUAACCAGCGAUAUUAAGAAACUCGACUCACCGAUGGCGCAACAGAGGAUCAACAGCGCAGCUACUCGAGACGCUCUCAUGGUGGAUUUCCUUUCUGGAAUACUCGCGAUGGAAGUGCACCAAAGCGUUUUCCUCUCGUCACGUCAUACCAGGCUGUCUCGCGAA